This is a long non-coding RNA of Gasterosteus aculeatus aculeatus (three-spined stickleback), 1152 nucleotides long. Lineage: Eukaryota; Metazoa; Chordata; Actinopteri; Perciformes; Gasterosteidae. The record is from Ensembl.
UCCCCCUCCCCAAUACCCAGCUAAUGCCCUGCUGAGAUCUCGUAGCUUCCUGCUGCCGGAGCUCGACCUGAAAGGAACUUCUUAAUACAGAAUGGCUCUUCUUCAACAUUUUGACGGUGCUGGACAACAAGCUCCACCUGAAGGACUCAGCAGGAAACUUGUUGUUGUUGUUCUGCAGCUUAGAGGGACAGGAAGCUCUGAUCUUCAUGCCCCGUGUCGCUUAAGAGAAUAAAAAAGGGCCUGUCCACUAAAACCGAGCUUUCAACCAAACUGAGAAUAACCACACAACUUUGAAAAGGGAGUUUCACUCCUCCACCACCUCUUCUUCUUCUUCUCUCCUCCUUUUGUGGUGUUCUAGUGAAGUAAACCAAAAUUUCUCCCCCUCCAAGAUACAGUGCAAGCACAUGUAAUAUAGUUCUAUGUAUGUUUACAAUGUUGGAUGUAAAUGACAUAGAGAUCACGUACACCUACGAAGACACACACACACACACACACUCAUGCAUAUACAUACAGAAGUAUAUAAUAUCAAAGUCCUGUUGUAAGUUGGAAGGGCCUGGGAAAUGUGUUUGGGACGGGAAAAAAUGGCUUGAAUAAAAUAAGCCUUCUGUAUUUUUAAGAAGAAAAAAAAGAUCAUUUGAAGAUCAGUUAUUUCACUGUACAGGAAUAAAAGAUGUAAGUAAUAAAAAACUACUCGAGACUAGACGGUCCAGAUUUAGGUGGUGUAAUUUUUUUCUGCAGAGGUAUACUAAAAAAAGGUAAGAAUGAUGCUGAUCUGUUUUAUUGAAAGGAGAGAUUCCCAUCGGCCAAGAUUUACUAUGGACAAGCUUCUUCUUUUCACCUCCUCAGGAGGAGUAACACCACCCUCAGAUCCCAGUCUACAAACGUUCUGUUCUCACCCCCGUCAUGUCUCCAAAGAUAGCAACUCCUGAAGGGAAGGUUCUCGGAUGAGGGAGCUCUCUGGAUAAGAAGGACGGGCUGCGACUGAACUGGCAACUUCAGCAAACCCCGCAGCAUUGACCCCCCCCCCCCCCUACGGCAGCAGCUGCAGCAGCAACCACGGUGGUGGUGCUUUGUGUUUGUAAAACUAUGUAUUCUGUGAUGUCUGUAUUGUUGUAAGAAAUGCUGAAAAAAAAUGAAAAAAUAAAACUUCUC